AGCACACAUUCACAGGCGCCAUCGCCUUUAGCACACCCAGGCACGUCGCCGGGCGGUGAUGCCGAGCUCUUUGCCCCUGUCCUCGUCGUCGUUGUCCUCCUCUUCCCCUCGUUGCUCAGGCACUUUCGCACUCCCUUGCUCUCUAUCUCUCCUCCGUCUGUGAGCGCCGCACUGGCAACCCAGGCAUAGAGAGCGGGAGAGAAGAGCUUCGUGGUCGAUUGAAACGCAUGCGCGUAUACACACAAGCACACCCUUAGCACCUACACCCUCUACAUGCGCUGAGUCGUUAGCGGCUGAUGGACACGCGCUUCCACUGCGUGUACUUGCUCACCAGUCUCGACCCUCAGUGCGAGGGCGACUUCUACAUUGGCUACACCGUGAACCCCCUGCGACGGCUGCGGCAGCACAAUGGCGAGCUCGUGAACGGCGCCCGACGCACGAGUCGCCGUGGUCGGCCGUGGACGAUCGUGUGCUGUGUCUCGGGUUUCCCUGACGAUCGAGCCGCGCUGAAGUUCGAGUGGUGCUGGCAGCACCCGACCGCAUCCGCGCGACUGAGGCACGCGAUCGACAUUCUCACGGGUCUGCGGCGGCUUCCCUAUGCGGUGGCCACGCUGCACCUCCUCGUGCGCGCCUCCCUCUUUUGCCAGCUGGAUCUGACGCUGCACAUCUUUGAGUCAGCACUCCUACAGGAGGCGGCAGCCAGGGCGGAGGUGCUCCUGGCGAGACGCCGUGGUGCCUUUGCCGUGGGCGGAGGGCUGCGAGCCUCGUCACCGCGAGUGGGCACACAACAUUCGCAGAGAAGCUCGUCCUUGCAAGGGCAGGCAGACGGUGUUGCGACACCGCCGUUGCCCGCGCUUGACUCUAAAGGGGAACUGCAAGAUGCGUCGACGGCAGCCGCACUCGCAACCACCACGGCUGCUUCUCACCUUCUCCCUCCGCUCACCCCGUCUCUCUUGUUCCACGUCGAGGACACAACGCGGCAGGCCUUCGAGGAUGCCUACCUGAGUCACGAUCGGUGCCUGCUGCUUCCAAGCGUGGGCAUGGGCGUCGACGUGGGAGAAGCAGGGAAGGAGGGCAGCCAUAUGAGCGCGUCUGCUGGAACCUCCUGUCCGUAUGAUGUAUCGUUGCUGUCCCAAGCGGCGCGGGCGGAGUGGUCAAACGCCUCCUUCGCCUCUGACUCGGACGACGAGGACACACGACGGUUCGCACCCUACUGCCCCUCUACAGGGUCGCGCACGCCAUCUCCGCAGCGCGUUCACACGGCGGCCUCGCCGGCCCUUCUCGGGUACCGCAGUGAGGAGCGCGCAGGCGACGGCGUCCUGGAAGCGAGCCCAGGCAGCAGUAUCGGCUGCGGUGCGGCGUUGCGUUCCUUCUCCUCUCCUCCGCCACCACGAGCGUCUUCGCCGCGAUCGGCAUCGUGCCCUCCACUGCACACAGGCAUCAACGCAUCCGCCUCACUUGCAGUGGAUGCACCCCAUGGGGGCGUCACGGCUGCCUGCACUUCCUCCCCAGCGGCGGCACCCGCCCCACAGCCCCGCAUCCCACUGCGCUUUGCGGACUAUGGCGAGGUAGACUUUGCGCGGGCCCACGCAGAGGAGCAGCAUCGCCUCCAUCACGGGCUACUGCCGUGCAGUCUCUGCACGUUGCCGCUGCAGCCCUCGUGUGUGGCGUACUGCAGCCGCGCACCUUUCUGCACCCUACGCUGUCACCUGAGCUGCUUGGCGAUGUGGAUGCUGUAUGCCGAGGCAGAGGCGGCGGCUACCGUAGACGGCACUGAUAAAAGCCCUGCGCUGCUUUCGCAAGCGCCUCCGGCACCGAUAUCACCGCUCCGUCGUCUGAUCCCUUCCCAGCCAUGCCCGUGCCCCCUCUGCGGUGUUCUCCUGCACUGGGGCUCGCUUGUGAAGGAGUUGAAGAAGCGAGUGGUUGUGGAGCGGCGCCUGCACGCGGCACAGCGGCGCAUUCGCAUGGAACAGCGGUGGCAGGCGCGCCUGGCGCACAUUGACCACACAAAGAGAAGCACCAGUGCGGCGAUGCGGCGUCGGCAGCGGACGAGGGUGGGCGCCGCCGCACUAGCAAAAGGCGCCGGCGAGGCACCCGGUGCCGCUUCCACUGUACGAGCGUCCACGAUGCACGUGGGGCCCACACGGCGCGAUGCUCCGCGGGUGUCGUCACCGAGCUGUUUGGGUGAACCGACCCUGACAUCAUUCGCAGCUGCGGCCUCCUGCCCCUCUCCCUCCACCUCUUUGGCAGCGUUGUCUCCUGCGGCGAGUGCGUCGCCGAUCUCCCGCCACAACGGUCACUCGAACACCGUUACCGCCACUAAUACUGCCGUUGCUGCUGCUGCGGCGGUGUCUGACGCGUCUCUCUUGUCUCUGACGGACUUCUGCGAGGAGGACUGGCUGCUGCCAUGAGUCGGCCUGAUGCCACCGAGGGAGAAGAGGAGCCAAAGCAGAAGAGAAAAUGGAAGGACCAGACGUGUGUGCUCAAUGGCGGUCGGCCACCCUGUGCCCUUGGCCCAGUGUUGCGGAGUAGGUGUUGUACACGCAGGGCAGGGGAGAGAGGGCGUGCCGGCAUCCUCGGCGGCCUGGCCCCUCUCCGAUAUCUGUACGAGCAUCGAUUGUCUCUUUGCCGUUGCUCUUUACAUAUCCGCCCCUCCCCCGCCAAACCCUCGCGUCCGUGCCUCCCAUGAAGCAUGCGCAGCUCUGCGCUUUUCGAGGUGGUAGGGGGAGGGGUGGGAGUGGCUGGCCGUUUCUCCGCCUCCUUCCCUCCGCGCUCACGCGCGGCCACCUUCGCUGUGUAUCACAGAGCCGCUAUCGUUGGCGACAGAGCAACUGCUGCACAACUGAUGCAGGCAGUCUCUCCUUCGUAGAGAAUCGCGCACCCGCCCGCUCCAGCCCUCCCCUCCCCCCAGGCACAGACAAGCAGCGUACAGACGCCUAUCUGCCCAUCGAUGAAGUCGCCGUACCCACCCCCCUCUUCCUCUCUUCCUCCCCAUUUGUUGGCGAUCUCCAUCCUCGCCGAUUCGUGCGCGCAUGUGCGUGAGGGGUGCCGCAG
RNAcentral lists this unclassified non-coding RNA (3054 nucleotides) under Leishmania donovani. Its description in RNAcentral is "gene:LdHU3.25.1710(CDS-product:GIY-YIG_catalytic_ domain_containing_protein_putative)". Lineage: Eukaryota; Euglenozoa; Kinetoplastea; Trypanosomatida; Trypanosomatidae. The record is from RNAcentral.